CUGAUGAGCACUCAACCUCCUAACAAGGUAGACUGAGAUUUUAAACCAAAGAAGUUCAGUGUGGUGCUGUAGUCUCUGCAGGCUGCUUUUAUAUUUUGUGUACGUUAAAUGGUGUACACAAACUCAGAACCACACAUUGAGAAGGUAAUCUUGUGACCUCAUACUACUCUCAUAAUGCUUUGAGGUGCCUUCGAUUUUUUCGACUUUUAGCUGUAGGUUUGUUAAGCAGGUUUUGUGGUGUUUGAUUGUGUUGAAACAGAUGUUUUUUUGUGGUUAGUUUGGUGUUUUGGGGUUAUUGUUUUUUUUUUUUUUGCAAUUCUGAGCAUCCACCACAAUGAUGUCUCUUAGACAGAGUACGCACCUUAUAUAGGCAAUGUCUGACUAUGCAUAAUCUUCAUAUGGAAAAAGGAAUACUGAAUGGUAGAGGUGUAACUGCUGUCAAAAUUGUCUAAUGCAAAAAUGUAAAAAGUAGGAGAGGAGGAGCAAAAGGCUGCGUACAGAAAUGUUUGCUCCUACUCCUCCUCUCCUACUGUUGGACAGGUCAAAGUGGUUAUUUGUUUUAUUUUAUUUAUAUUAUAAUAUGAUUUUGUGUGGAAUUAUUGUGAAUUUUAUUUUCGACUUCUGUUUAUUUGUUGUGAUUAUUGUGGAGUGUAUUUUGGAUUUUUUGUCUAUUUGCUGUGAUGUGUGCUGUGUUUUGGGGUGGUUCGUCACUGAUAAUUUCUUUAAGACAGUCUAAUUACCCGAACAGCUGAAACUGCUUCUUGCAAUCCCCUUUUUUUUCGCCAAUCACAGCAGCGGGAGAGCGCGGGCAUGUCGGGACUCUUAUUUUAAAAGGUGGACUCUUAUCGUGUGGCAGAGAGCAGCAACAGGGCAGGAAGCGGGGCUCGGGAAGGGGACGCGCGGGCGAGUCGGAAGUGCUCAGACUCAGGAGCGGCAGCGGUGGACUCGGCGUGCGGCGUUGUGAGAACGCCGAGAGUGAGCCGGAGUACAGACCGCGAGGCUGGCUGGAAGAGUGUGGCACUUGCAGCAGACCUGGGAGGUUACUGAAGCAGGAGCACGCGGUGACGACGGCGGCCGUUGGACUGGUGACCGAGGGUCGAGCCAUACACUGUGGGCAAGCGGCUGCUGGUUCUGAGUACAGUUCUGACUGUGCUCAGAGCGGUCGGCUUCUAUCAUCUCCUACAGUACUCGGACAGGUGGCAAGAUGCCGUCACAAAAUCAAUUUCCGGGUCACGGAGGAGAGGAGGAGGAUCGGUAGGAAAAAGGAGACACUUUUGGGGUUUCUGGACGCAGCCUCUGUUUAAGACCUACAAUCUUACACCAAUUUGAGAAGUCCAACAGGUAAGGUUAAAGCGCCUUACACAUUUCCGUCACCGCCUUUGUGUGUAGAUAC
RNAcentral lists this long non-coding RNA (1393 nucleotides) under Astyanax mexicanus (Mexican tetra). RNAcentral describes it as "lncRNA (ENSAMXG00005024857.1)". The record is from RNAcentral. Lineage: Eukaryota; Metazoa; Chordata; Actinopteri; Characiformes; Acestrorhamphidae.